AAACUCUAGGAUGCUGCCAUCUAUCCCUUCAGAUUUGAGACCACAUGACUUAGCCCAGUUUGUUUUGUCCGAACUCAUUCUUUCUUCUUUAACUUUCAAACCUUUCUUCUUCUCUUCUUCUCUGCUUUGUGAGCAUCCAUGGUGAGAUUGGUUUCCAACAUCCCCCUCAAGUUGGAGGGGAACGACGAGAUCCCCAACUUGCUAAGAAUCGAACGACUAGAAGGCCCUGAAGCGGCUUAGUAAAUAGAUCGGCAAGCUAAAAUUUUGAUGGCACAAAAGAGAGGAAAGUUAGGCCGGUAAGAAAUUAUUGUCUAACAAAUGGCAGUCUAGCUCCACAUAUUUGGUGCACUCAUGAAAUAUAGGGUUUCGUGCAAUAUGAAUGGCGGAUUGACUAUCAGAGAGAACGGGAACCAACAACGAAGGUGGUACGGAAAGAUCGUCAAGGAGGCAAGUGAGCCAUGUUAAUUCGGCAACAACCUUGCGCAUUGAAUGAUACUUCGCCUCAGCGGAGGACAAGGACAAAAAGGCACGUUUCUUUAACUUCCAGGAAAUAGAAGACCCACUAAAUGCGAUAUAAAAUUCACUAACAGACUGCCUGGUUUAUGGGCAUUAAGCUCAGUCGGCAUCGCAAAAAGCAACAAGCUUUAGGGAUGGGGUUGUAUUAAGGAUGAUCCCUUGAUCUGGAUCUGUUUUUAGAUAUCGUAAAACUCGAAGGGCUGCGGUGAGAUGAGAAAGUUUGGGGCUUUUCAUGAAUUGGCUUAAUUGAAGAACAACAAAUGAUAGAUCUGGCCUCAUAUGAGUCAAAUAGUUUAACUUUGCCACAAGAUAUCAGUAGAGUGUUGGAUUUGAGAGAGGAGGCCAUGAUUCUGCUGUAAGCUUGGAUGAAGGGUCGAGGGGAGAAGCUACACAAGAGGAAUCUGCAAUGUCAAAUUCAUUCCGCAAGUCUAAGAUGAUGUAAUUUUGCACCAUUCGACUGUCCAAAUCUACGUUCUAAACUGGGCUAUAAAUUCCUUGCAGAUUUGGAGUAGAUUACACUAUCUCCAGUGUCUUUGGAGAGAGAAUUCAGCAUCCAGGAUAUAACUAUAUCAUUGCGUCUACUCCAUGAUUGAAAAUCUGUGAAAAUUGGAGCUGGACCUGGACAAUUCCCAUUUAUAACGCGCAACUUGUUCUUUGCUGCAAGAGCUAUCAAGACAGAUCUCUUUUAGCCAUGAUAGACUCUUCCACCAAAGAUAGCAUUCACCAAGCUCAUGCCAGGUGCGUCUGAGGAGUGAAGGAAGUAAAGGUAAUUUGGAUCGAAAUUGGGUCCAUUUCCCGUUGAAGACCCACUUGGAUCGAGCUACUGCUCUGAUACCAUGAAACAAAGAAGAGAAAAUGUGAAAUUUUUUCUGUAUUUCUGAUUGAAUUCUUUCUGUACAAGCAAUAUACAAGUAUGUUCCUAGUAAAAGAAAACUAGAAUGAAAAAUGAAAAUAAAAGAAUCCUGUAGUAUUUGUACAUUUGUUAUGUUUGUACUAGACUAAUUAUAACAAAAUAACCAACUAAUAUUCCUUUCCUA
Nicotiana tabacum (common tobacco) is the source of this 1553-nucleotide long non-coding RNA. RefSeq lists it as uncharacterized. The record is from RefSeq and is a predicted model, not a curated record. NCBI's taxonomy places the organism in Eukaryota, Viridiplantae, Streptophyta, Magnoliopsida, Solanales, Solanaceae.